This 83-nucleotide transfer RNA is filed under the name Acidimicrobiia bacterium. Its description in RNAcentral is "tRNA-Leu". It matches the Rfam family "tRNA". Rfam says of the family: Transfer RNA (tRNA) molecules are approximately 80 nucleotides in length. The record is from RNAcentral. Lineage: Bacteria; Bacillati; Actinomycetota; Acidimicrobiia.
GCCCGGGUGAUGGAACGGUAGACAUAGCGGACUUAAAAUCCGCGGCCCUUCGGGGCGUGCAGGUUCGAAUCCUGCCCCGGGCA